Molecule: ribosomal RNA, 497 nt
Filed under: uncultured bacterium
Lineage: Bacteria
Description: partial 16S ribosomal RNA
Rfam family: Bacterial small subunit ribosomal RNA
Source: RNAcentral
GAUGAACGCUGGCGGCGUGCCUAAUACAUGCAAGUCGAGCGAACGGACGAGAAGCUUGCUUCUCUGAUGUUAGCGGCGGACGGGUGAGUAACACGUGGAUAACCUACCUAUAAGACUGGGAUAACUUCGGGAAACCGGAGCUAAUACCGGAUGAUAUUUUGAACCGCAUGGUUCAAAAGUGAAAGACGGUCUUGCUGUCACUUAUAGAUGGAUCCGCGCUGCAUUAGCUAGUUGGUAAGGUAACGGCUUACCAAGGCAACGAUGCAUAGCCGACCUGAGAGGGUGAUCGGCCACACGGGAACGGAGACACGGUCCAGACUCCUACGGGAGGCAGCAGUAGGGAAUCUUCCGCAAUGGGCGAAAGCCUGACGGAGCAACGCCGCGUGAGUGAUGAAGGUCUUCGGAUCGUAAAACUCUGUUAUUAGGGAAGAACAUAUGUGUAAGUAACUGUGCACAUCUUGACGGUACCUAAUCAGAAAGCCACGGCUAACUACGUG